AUGUCACCCUCGAAGGCUCCGGGAGUUGAUGGUUUUACUGCAGGGUUUUUCCAGCGGCAUUGGAAUAUCAUUCGAGGAGACUUAGUACCCGCUAUUCUGGGUUUUCUUAAUGGGGGCGAGCUACCAGAGGGUUUCAAUGAUACUUCGAUCACACUCAUCCCAAAGGUACGCAACCCUCAAUGCAUUGCUCAGUACCGACCCAUUUCGUUGUGUCUGGUUCCUUACAAGAUCGGGGCCAAGAUGAUCACUAAUCGCUUGAAAGAGCUAAUGGACAUUGUGGUUGGUGAAGAGCAAAGUGCUUUUGUCCCCGGCAGGUUGAUUACUGAUAAUGUUGUGGUGGCUUUUGAGAGCGUCCAGACGAUGAGAAGGAGGAAGAAAGGGAAGAAUUUUUCUUGUGCUGUCAAGUUAGACAUGAUGAAGGCCUAUGAUCGAGUCGAAUGGCACUAUUUGGAGGCAAUUAUGACUAAACUUGGUUUCAGC
RNAcentral lists this ribosomal RNA (480 nucleotides) under Triticum aestivum (bread wheat). RNAcentral's name for it is "partial small subunit ribosomal RNA". The record is from RNAcentral. Lineage: Eukaryota; Viridiplantae; Streptophyta; Magnoliopsida; Poales; Poaceae.